UACGGAGGGUGCAAGCGUUGUUCGGAAUUAUUGGGCGUAAAGGGCGUGUAGGUGGCUGUCCAAGUCUGGUGUGAAAGCCCACGGCUCAACCGUGGAACUGCAUUGGAAACUGGAUAGCUCGAGUAUUGGAGGGGGUCGCGGAAUUCCCGGUGUAGAGGUGAAAUUCGUAGAUAUCGGGAGGAACACCAGUGGCGAAGGCGGCGACCUGGCCAUUUACUGACACUGAGACGCGAAAGCGUGGGGAGCAAACAGG
RNAcentral lists this ribosomal RNA (253 nucleotides) under uncultured bacterium. Its description in RNAcentral is "partial 16S ribosomal RNA". It matches the Rfam family "Bacterial small subunit ribosomal RNA", at positions 524 to 776 of the family's 1533-position model. The record is from RNAcentral.